This 369-nucleotide ribosomal RNA is filed under the name uncultured bacterium. RNAcentral describes it as "bacterial SSU rRNA". It matches the Rfam family "Bacterial small subunit ribosomal RNA", at positions 328 to 714 of the family's 1533-position model. The record is from RNAcentral.
UCGCCAGACUCCUACGGGAGGCAGCAGUGGGGAAUAUUGCACAAUGGGGGAAACCCUGAUGCAGCGACGCCGCGUGAGUGAAGAAGUAUCUCGGUACGUAAAGCUCUAUCAGCAGGGAAGAUAAUGACGGUACCUGACCAAGAAGCCCCGGCUAACUACGUGCCAGCAGCCGCGGUAAUACGUAGGGGGCAAGCGUUAUCCGGAAUUACUGGGUGUAAAGGGAGCGUAGACGGCUGUGCAAGUCUGGAGUGAAAGGCGGGGGCCCAACCCCCGGACUGCUCUGGAAACGGUAUGGCUGGAGUGCAGGAGAGGUAAGCGGAAUUCCUAGUGUAGCGGUGAAAUGCGUAGAUAUUAGGAGGAACACCAGUG